RNAcentral lists this ribosomal RNA (468 nucleotides) under uncultured bacterium. RNAcentral's name for it is "partial 16S ribosomal RNA". It matches the Rfam family "Bacterial small subunit ribosomal RNA", at positions 28 to 507 of the family's 1533-position model. The record is from RNAcentral.
GACGAACGCUGGCGGCGUGCUUAACACAUGCAAGUCGAACGGUGAUGCUCCAGCUUGCUGGGGUGGAUAAGUGGCGAACGGGUGAGUAAACCGUGAGCAACCUGCCCCAGACUCUGGAAUAAGCGCUGGAAACGGCGCCUAAUACUGGAUACGAAACUGGCCCGCAUGGGCAUGGUUUGGAAAGUUUGGCGGUUUGGGAUGGGCUCGCGGCCUAUCAGCUUGUUGGUGGGGUAGUGGCUCACCAAGGCGACGACGGGUAGCCGGCCUGAGAGGGCGACCGGCCACACUGGGACUGAGACACGGCCCAGACUCCUACGGGAGGCAGCAGUGGGGAAUAUUGCACAAUGGGCGGAAGCCUGAUGCAGCGACGCCGCGUGCGGGAUGACGGCCUUCGGGUUGUAAACCGCUUUCAGCAGGGAAGAAGCGAGAGUGACGGUACCUGCAGAAGAAGCACCGGCUAACUACGUG